This is a long non-coding RNA of Myotis myotis, 566 nucleotides long. RefSeq lists it as uncharacterized. The record is from RefSeq and is a predicted model, not a curated record. The transcript has 3 exons. Lineage: Eukaryota; Metazoa; Chordata; Mammalia; Chiroptera; Vespertilionidae.
CACACACACACACACACACACACGGCACCUCUUGGUGCGUUCUGCAGGGGCAGCGUUGGAUAUCGGUGACAAAAUGUUCCUGACAAAACCCUCCGAUCAGGAAACAUGCGUGUACGUCUGUAUCAGUGGGCACACAGUCCCGCACAGCAGAGGAAGACAGCGGGCAGACACGUGGAGGCCGAUGGCUGUGCGGGUACACAUUGUAUGUUUCAACACAGACGGGGACCCUCUGAGAGGGGACUUGUGUACCGGGAACCCGUCCCCCGCCUUGGAGCACAUUCCUAAUCCCAUGGCUUCCAGCCGGCACCCACACACCUGUGACUUACGGCCCCGCGUGUUUCCAGAGGAAAUCUUGUCCUUCCUGUCCGUGGUCUGUGGGUCGGUGCCGAGAAAGAAGUACGCAGGUGGCCCAGCAGGUGUGGCUCAGUGGUUGAGCGUCAACCCAGGAACAAAGAGGUCUCCGGCAGGUCGGCUUGUGGGCUCCAUCCUCAGCAGGGGGCGUGCAGAAGGCCGCCCGUCGAUAAGGUUCCUCUCUCGUCGAUGUUUCUGUCUCUCUGUUCCUCUCC